UGGGACGUGGGGUAACGGCAGCCCGCCGGACUUUGAAUCCGGAAGGUCCUGGUUCGAAUCCAGGCGUCCCAG
This 72-nucleotide transfer RNA is filed under the name Asanoa ferruginea. RNAcentral describes it as "tRNA-Gln". It matches the Rfam family "tRNA". From Rfam's summary of the family: Transfer RNA (tRNA) molecules are approximately 80 nucleotides in length. Their secondary structure includes four short double-helical elements and three loops (D, anti-codon, and T loops). The record is from RNAcentral. Lineage: Bacteria; Bacillati; Actinomycetota; Actinomycetes; Micromonosporales; Micromonosporaceae. RNAcentral also lists the same sequence under 9 other names.